RNAcentral lists this ribosomal RNA (320 nucleotides) under uncultured eukaryote. RNAcentral's name for it is "partial 18S ribosomal RNA". It matches the Rfam family "Eukaryotic small subunit ribosomal RNA", at positions 1470 to 1796 of the family's 1831-position model. The record is from RNAcentral.
CCCUUAGAUGUUCUGGGCCACACGCGCGCUACACUGAACAGUUCAACAAGUCUUAACCUUGGCCGAUAGGUCUGGGUAAUCUUUGAACGCUGUUCGUGAUUGGGAUAGACCUUUGCAAUUAUGGGUCUUCAACGAGGAAUUCCUAGUAAACGCAAGUCAUCAGCUUGCAUUGAUUACGUCCCUGCCCUUUGUACACACCGCCCGUCGCACCUACCGAUUGAAUGGUCCGGUGAAAUCUCGGGACGGCGGCUUGGUCGCUUGCGUCCGACUGCUGAAACUUGAUUAAACCAUAUCAUUUAGAGGAAGGUGAAGUCGUAACA